Podarcis lilfordi (Lilford's wall lizard) is the source of this 9339-nucleotide non-coding RNA. The record is from the annotation of a GenBank genome assembly. NCBI's taxonomy places the organism in Eukaryota, Metazoa, Chordata, Lepidosauria, Squamata, Lacertidae.
UUAUAUACAUUAUUUUAUAUACAUUAUUAUAUACAAUGAGUCCCGUCUGAUUGGCUGAUUAACUUCCUCCUGGAGCCUGAUUGGUCUUUUCCUGCAAGCCAAUCAGUUGUUGCAUUCUAGGAUCCUACUUGCCUAUUGUUCUAGGAUCCAAGCUUAGUACAUAACAACAGGGUUCUUCUGCUCCUUCUGCAGAGAUGUUCCUCUUCUCAAGCAAAUGUAACCUGCAAAGAUGCUGCACUGUGCAUAGGAAGCCACCUUUAUGGAGUCAGACAAUUGGUCCACACCGCUAGGUAUCACUCUGACUGGCAGUGGUUCCUCAGGAUUUCAGGCUGGAGUCCUUCCAAGCCUGACUCAGAGAUGCCAGGGAUCUUUCAGAUGCAAAGCAGGUGCUCUACCACUGAGCUACAUCUCUUCCCAUGACUAGAACUGUGGUGAGUGCCCAUUCAUUUGAAAAUGUCUGUACAGGGGGAGAGAAAGGGUUAAUAGGUAGACCAAUAGAAAAGCCAGAGGCGGAGCCUACCUGUUUAUAAAAGGGCUUAGCCCGAGGUUUGGUUAGUUAGUUAGUUAGUUGGUUGGGAAAAGGCAGUUGGGAAAACAGUUGACAGACAAAUGGAAUUAGAGAGACAGUGCAGUUGGUUCUUGUGUGAGGGGAGGUAGAAGAGUUAGAGAGAGAAUAAAAUAAGACUAAGAGGGUAAAGAGGGAUGCGGGUGGCGCUGUGGGUUAAACCACAGAGUCUAGGACUUGCCAAUCAGAAGGUCGGCGGUUCGAAUCCCUGCGACGGGGUGAGCUCUCGUCGUUUGGUCCCAGCUCCUGCCAACCUAGCAGUUCGAAAGCACAUCAAAGUGCAAGUACAGUGGUGCCUCGCAAGACGAAAUUAAUCCAUUCCGCGAGUCUCUUCGUCUAGCGGUUUUUUUGUCUUGCGAAGCAACCCUAUUAGCAGCUUAGCGGAUUAGCGCUAUUAGCGGUUUAGCGGCUAUUAAAGGCUUAGCGGCUUAGCGGCUAAAAGGCUAUUAGCGGCUUAGCGGCUUAGCGGCUAAAAGGCUAUUAGCGGCUUAGCGGCUUAGAAAAAGGGGGGGAAGUGAAAAAAAUCUCAAGACUCGCAAGACAUUUUUGUCUUGCAAAGCAAGCCCAUAGGCAAAUUUGUCCUGCGAAGCACAUUGAAAAACGGAAAACCCUUUCAUCUAGCGGGUUUUUCGUCUUGCGAGGCAUCCGUCUUGCGGGGCACCACUGUAGAUAAAUAGGUACCGCUCUGGCGGGAAGGUAAACGGCGUUUCCGUGCGCUGCUCUGGUUCGCCAGAAGCGGCUUAGUCAUGCUGGCCACAUGACCUGGAAGCUGUACGCCGGCUCCCUCGGCCAGUAAAGCGAGAUGAGCACCGCAACCCCAGAGUCAGCCACGACUGGACCUAAUGGUCAGGGGUCCCUUUACCUUUACCUUUAAGAGGGUAAAGGGUAACAGCGUUUCGAAUGCAUUUAAAGUUUAUUUGUUUUUGUAAUAAACUACAGUCUUCAUUUUUAAUUUAAGAACCUGACUGAGACUAAGUGAUUUACGGGGGAGGACCUGGUUGGUGGCAGCGGAUUAGGGGUGUACGGGUCACUAGUCCGUGAGACGACCGGGGGCUUUGUACGAACGCCACAAGAACAAUCAACACUGGCUUAUUAUGCUUGUCACCUAUCUGUAUCAACCCUUUACAAAACCCUAGUGUAGGUUCAGAGUGAUGGCAGCGAUGGCGUGUAUGCAGCAGAGGCUGGACUCUCCAGCUUGCCUGGAGGAACCUAGGCUGCUUGGCUGCUUCUGCCAGCCAGCAACUUUGACAACGCAAAACAGCUAAAUAGUCCUUAUUCCCACUGACACUUCUGUGAGGGCGGAUGACUCAUUGCAGAUUCACAUCAUUAUAAUUUUUUCCCCUUCCCCGGAGUGACUUUUUGCCCUCAGAACUCAACAUUGAGUCAUCCACACCACAGAUAUAUGCAUGCAGAUAGAAGGAAUGAAAUUUACUGCAUGUACUACAAUAAAAGAAAAUGUUAUGAAAAUGUUAUAUAGAUGGUAUGUUACACCAGUAAAACUUGGAAAGAUGUAUAAAGUGAGUAAUAAAUGUUGGAAAUGUCAGGAGAAAGAAGGAACAUUCUAUCAUAUGUGGUGGGAAUGUAAAAAAAAUGAAAGGUUUCUGGGAAAUGAUUUAUAAUGAAUUGAAAAAAAUGUUGAAAUAUACCUUUGUUAAAAACCAGAAACUUUUCUGUUAGGAAUACUAAGAAAUGACAUAAAAAAGAAGGAUGAGAAGUUGUUUUUAUAUGCAGUAACAGCGGCAAGAAUUUUGGUGGCACAAAAAUGGAAACAGGAAGAAAUCCCGACGAAAGAAGAAUAGAGAAUGAAGUUGAUGGAAUACGCAGAAUUAGACAAGCUAACGGGGAGAAUUCGGAACCAGCGAGACCAGAGAUUUACCGAGGACUGGAAUAAAUUUACAGAGUAUAUUAAAAAUGUAUGUGAAGGUCAAUUAACGUUUGUAGGUUUUCAAGAAGCUCUGUGAUAAUAAUGGAAAGAAAUAUUGUUUUAUAAUAAUUGCUAAGAUUAAUUUGGUUUAAAAAAAAAACAAUACAGAUGCAAGAAAUGUGAAUAACUGUGAAAACAUGAAAAUUCCCAGAUAGACUGAAGGAAGUCUGAAAGUGGAAAGAUUAGAAUUGGAUGUAUAAUUCAAAUGGAAUAUUUUUCUUUUAUUGUUAUAUUUGAAAAUUUUAUAAAUAAUUUUUUUUAAAAAAAAGAUAUAUGCAUGCAGAUAAGUGGUGGGAGGUGACAGAGGGGCAGGGGUGGAAGUUACCUCAUGGUGGCAGAAAUGGUGAUUGGAUUUGGUUGUGGUGUAGCCCUUCAUAAGAGGGUCCUUCGCUUUUCUAGGAAGUCCCCUAACGAUGUCCAUUUUAGGAAGAGCAGAAAAGCAAGAUACUGACAGGACUUAAUUUACGUUCAACUAGUGUAGGAACAUAAGGAGCCAACUUAUUCUAAGGGUACAUUCAGACAUUGGGAAUAUUGCUGUGGUUUUCCUGAUUAUAAUGCCUGGGCUUUUAUCCCAUUUCUGUCACUGUUUGACCAAUAAACUGGCAAUGCCUCAAUACCUCAAGGACCGUCUCUUCCCAUAUAAACUGACCUGGACUCUGCAAUCAUCAUCUGAGGCCCUUCUUGGUGUGCCUCCUCCGCAAGAUGUAUGGAGGGUGGCAACACAAGAACAGGCCCAUUGGUAGAAUGCACUCCCCAGAGAAGUUUGUCUGGUGCCUUCAUUACAUAUCUUUAGGUACCAGAUGAAAAUGUUCCUCUUCCACCAGCCCUUUGGCUGAUUAAUAUUCUAAGGCCUUUUGAAUGUGUGGGAGUGGGAGGUUAUAGUCUUGUUUUGGUAUGGUUUUAACUAUUUAUUUUGUGCUUCUUUCCUGUAUUUUUAUUUUGUGAACCACCCUGAGAUCUUCAGAUGAAGGACGGUAUAUAAAUUUAACAAUUAAUAAUAAAUAAUGUCAUCCACACCUGUGGGUGUGGUGUGACACAACAACAAAGGUCAUCAGACGACAUCGCUGCUCCCCACCCUUUCCAAACAUGAUUGCUUCUUUUCCCUCAUGAAAGCAGCAGGAAAGAGCUGUUUGUUGAUGUGCUGUCCCCAAUUCAAUCACUUUACUCUUGCCAUUUUCCAGGUUAAGGGGACUGCAAACAGAUUCUUUUCUGGAAUCAAAUAACAUGGAAAUGAGCACUCAAAUGCGCUAUAUUCCAUUAAUUUUCCAGCAGUGCCUUUUACAUCGUGCAAAAGCUCAAAUAUAAUGCCGAAAUUAACAGUUAGGGGCAUGUCAGGGAAAUGGAAUAAACCUCUGUGUGAACGCUGCUGCCAGAGUCCGACCAUUGGUUCAUGUAGCUCAGUACAGUCUACACUGACUGGUAGCAAGGUUUCGUGAAGGGGGUCUUUCCCAGGGGUCCUCUGCAUGCAAAGCAGAUGUUGCCCACUGGGUUACAGCCCAAGAUGCAAGACAACACAAAACAUACUUUCACUUUUAGAAAUUUAACCUAACAGAAAAGCUGUGAGUAUCUUCCCUUUCAUUCCAGACAUGUUCCACAUGCAAAAAACGGUUUAUUAUUAUGGAUGAUGUUCUACAGCAAGGAUGCUGAAAUGCUACAACUACUUUGGACAACUGGAGUGGACUAUUUACAAUCCAGUAGAAAUGUUAUUUACUUAUAAGAGGAAGAAGAGGUCUUCAAGAUGAGCUGGUCUACCAGCAAUUGCACAAUAAUCAUUUUUCAUUCCCUCCUCUAUUUUUAACUGAAAGAUAUACUUUGCUGAAUUACGUCUAUAAUGACCUUCUCUAAUGUACUUUAAGUUCCAUAAUUGAAACAUCCUAAAGCUUUAAAAAUCAAUGAAAAAGGUCUAAAAUCAAUGAAAGAAAAGAUUCGUAAUUCCUGCAAGGAGCCUCUUUUUAAAACACUGGGUUUAAUUUUUCUCAGACGAGUGUGCUCAUGUACGCAGAGAGUGAUGUGAAAUAGUAGUCGAUCUAUCUGAUCUGAUGCUCCCUUGCACAGUGUAGAGGUAAGGGAAUUCUGGUCCGUUGACCACCCCCUGCUCCCUUUGCAGAAGCAGAAGAACCACCCACCAUUUCAGAAGGUAUCAGCAGCUGUGACAUGCAAGAAAUAUUUGGGGUUUCAAGGAAGAGGGUGAAGGGAGACAUAUUUGGACCACUGGUGAAGUCCAGAAGGUGGUUUCAAAGGAGUUGAGAUGGCUUCACAGAGAAUAUGACUAUCAAUGACUACUAGCCAAUGAUGCCUAUGUUAAAUCUCUACUUUCAGAGGCAGUAAGCUUAUUUGGAGAGUGCUGUUGCGUUCAUGUGCUUCUUGCGGGCUUCACACAGGCAUCUGGUUGGUCACUGUGAGAACAGGAUGCUGGACUAGAUAAGCCAUUGGCCUGAUCCAGUAGGCUGUUAUGUUCUUAUGACAGAGGUUCAGCUCCAUCCUUUGACUAGGCGACUGUAGUUUGGUGGUUUAGAAACUGUAUGGCUGCUAACCCCAGUCGUAUUCAUUACAGAUUAUUUGUAUCUAUUACUUUCAGAAAAUGGCUGCUCUGGUGUCCGUAGGAUGAGCCAUUCCACUAGGUGAAUUCAAAGUCUCACAGUGAUGGAUCAUAUGCUUCUGUUAAUCCUGAGGUACAGUCAUUUGCAAUUCAGUAGCUAAGCGCUGUCGAAUGCUGUGAGGGCCUCAAGUACGCAGCUGAGGUGAGCAUUCCCCAUCUGCUCCAGAACAAUAGGCUAAGGCUGAAUUUGAGGUAGUUAACAGGCUUACAUAAUUUUUCUCAAGGAGAAGAGAAUCCCAUGGCUGCUAACUGUCAAACCUGCUUACUUUUCAACCUAUUUAAAUGCAGAGUCAGCUCAGUCAUCUGACAAUGAGCCCCUGUCCGGCUACUUUGGCAAGUUAGAUUAGUUGCAAAAAAGGAUCUUUGAAUUUAUCAAAUUUACCUCUCUCUCUCUUUAGCUCUACAUUUUCUGGAAUGUAGUUCUGUUCCAAAAUUAGCAUCACAUAAACCUACUGGCAGCAGAGAGCAGCUGUAGAAUGUCAACAUGCUCUGAGCUGCUUCUUGGAUCCCAGUUAAUACAGAGAGCAGAUGCUGAGGCAUUAGGCAAUACUGUGGGAAGAACCAAAAUGGCCACCGUCCUCAGUUGCAAAAUUACCUUGACUCAAGUUAGGAAGUUAAGAGCACCAGUUCCUGUAUUGUCUUUUUAUUUUCCCCGGUGUGUGCUGUAAAUAGCUCUGAGCAGAAUGAUUAUAGGGACAUAGUCCUUAUACUGAGCCAGACCAUUGACCCAUCAAGCUCAGUACUGUCUACACCAGGGUUUCCCAAACUUGGGUCUCCUGCUGUGGUUGGACUACAACUCCCAUCAUCCCUAGCUAGCAGAAUUAGUGUUCAGGGAUGAUGGGAACUGUAGUUCAAAAACAGCCAGACACCCAAGUUUGGGAAACCUUGGUCUACACUGAGGUCGCAUUCAUGCCAUACAUUCAAAGCACUGUGGUACCACUUUAAACAAUCAUGCCUUCCACCAAAGAAUUCUGGGAGCUGUAGUUUAAGGGUGCUGAAAGUUAUUAGGAGCCCCCACAGAGCUACAAUUCUCAGUGUGGUUUAACAGUCAAGCCCUGUUCCCAAGGAACUCUGGGAACUGUGAGGGGAAUAGGUGCCUCCUAACAACUCUCAGCACCCUUAACAAACCACAGCUCCCAGAAUUCUCUGGGGCAAACUGUGGCUGUUAAAGUGGUAUCAUAGUACUUCAAAUGUAUGGUGUGAAUGUGGCCUAACUGGUUAGCAGCUCUCCAGGGCUUCAGGUUGGGUUAUCGUCCAGUUUUACCUGGAGAUGCCAGGGAUUUAAUUUUUGAUAUUCUGCAUGCAGAGCAUCUACUCUGCUGCUAAGUUAUAGCACUUCCUGAUUAGGGGCCAACACUAGAAAGAAGACCACCUUACAAUAGUACUGCCAGUCCAAUGAAUGACUUCAUAGCCAGUCUUGAUAUAUUACCAUCUUUGUUACGGACUCUUAUCCCCGGGGUAACAAUGACUGCAUGACCCAUCCCUGCUAAAAAUGCUCUGAAUCAAUUUUGCUUUCAGCUAUGUUUGUACAAAACACAAAUCAAUAGUACCUUCUAAGUUAUUUUCUGAAACUUGAUUCUCCCAUCCCCAUCCGGUGAAAUACUGCUGGUGAGACACAAGUUCAAAAUGACCUGUCAGGUAGGAUGCAGUUUAUGGUUCUGAAAACCAAGUUAGGCUGCAAUUCUGUACCCGUUUGCCUUGAUGCAAGCCUCGUUAAAAUCAACGGGGCUUCUUUCUGAGCAGAUAUGUAUAGGGUUGUGCUGUUGGUGUUCACACUAGGUAGCUCAGUUGGUUAGAGCAUGGUGCUGAUAAUGCCAAGGUCACAGGUUUGAUCCCCAUAAGGGACAGCUACAUAUUCCUUCAUUGCAGGGGAUUGGACAAGAUGAUCCUCAAGGUCCCUUCCAACUGUACAGUUCUAUGAUUCUAUGUAUACAUAAGACCUGAAACACCUUGCCAAGGUGACUUGAAUUUUAAAAUUUGGUCUUCAGGAGACAUGAGUUAUGGACUCCGCUUGAAACCCUGGAAAGGCACAACCAAUCACUGUAGACAAUACUGCUUCAGAUGAACCAAAGUCAGACUCAAUAUAAGGCAGCUUUCUAGGUUCCUAAUGUUCUAGGACACAGCAACUGACUGCACCAUAUUGCUUGUUUUGCUUUGGGAGACAGAGUUUUGCUGGAGGGAGGGGAGCUGGUCUGAGAGCUAAUAGGACAGAGAGAGAAAGAGAGAGUUGAGGUUGAGAAGGGAGAGUCUGAGCUCUGAAGAGCAAGCUUCUACUACCCUUCUCUAAUGUUCAUGAACUGUACCUUUUCAGCAGAAGCAUUGCUAGGUACUUAAAAGGCCCAGGCCCAGGUCCAUGACAAACUUUACAUAAAAUUUGCAUAUGCUGAUUUUUAAGUACUAGAUGUCUUCGGAUGGCUGGGAUCUCACUACAGUCCCCCAACAUUUCUCUGAUGAAAACAGGAACGUUCUAUUUCAUACUACUACUACCACUAAUAAUAAUAAUAAUAUGUGGGGUAUAAAUAAUUAAAGUGUUAUUGUUAUUGUUGUUACUAUUAUUAUUAUUAUUAUUAUUACCCCCACCCAUCUGACUGAGUUGCCCCAGACACUCUGGAUGGCUUCUAACAUAUAUAAAAACAUAAUAAAACAUUAAAAAUAACUUCUCUAUAUAGGGCUGCUCUCAGAUGUCUUCUAAAGGUUCUAUAGUUACAUAACUCGUUGGCUUGGGGGUCACGUAACUGACCAUACCCUCCAACAUUUCUCUGAUGAAAAUAGGGAUGUCUUAAGGAAAAGCGGGACAUUCCAGUAUCAAAUCAGAAACCAGGGCAACUUCUGUUCAUCCAGGACUGUUCCUGGAAAAUAGGGACACUUAGAGAGUUUAUCACUAUACUGUGCUUUCCAUUUCAUCCAGCCACCCUAUAAGCACAGCAUUGAAAAGUAGGGGAAAGAGACAGGAGAACUGGGGCCCACCACCACAAAAGUCCUAGAAGGUCAACUAAUCUAACAAUGAUCCUGCUUCUCAGUACAGUUGGCAUUCAUUUUGGACUCUGUUUUUAGUUUAAUAGCGAACCAUUUUGAGCUUUCCUGCCCUUAAAAAAAACACCUUCCAGAGUCCCUCUCUAUUAACUGCUAUAAUUGAUGAAGCUCUGGGGCAAUUUUUUCCAACCAUUUCUCUGAACAUUGUGUUGAUUUUCUUGAUUUGAACACAAACACCCUUUUUGCUACAUUUAAAAAAUGUUGAGAGAGAGAGCUGAGUCAAAUGUUAAUCUUGAUUGAAUGCCGGUGAAUUGAUGGUGUGUUAGCACAAAUAAGACCUCAUCCUUCUUUAUUUGGUUGAUGGAUGAUCAAUGAUGGAUGGAGAGUCUUUAUCAUAUCAAAAAGAAUUCACUCAAGGAUGCAGGAGAACAAGUAUUUCCAGAGAAGCUUUCUUAGUUAUGGUGCAGUUGAAAUUAGAAUUUAUUUUCAUACAUUUGUGAGGCCAGGUUCCUGUGGGGAGUCCUCAGGUCCAAGAACUCUUCCAAGUCCAAGUUUUUAAAAAAUGAAAAAUUGGAAAUCAACUCCUGUUACAUAGUACUGUAGCUAAGAUGGGAAACGAAACUGGCAAUAACAUUAUUAUGGCGUCUCUCCUUUUGGUUUUUCAUUAGCAAAAAAGAAAUGAUAAACAGAAGAAUCGUUGCAAUAACCGAUAACAAGUGAGAUGGAAUAAUGAACUGUGUGGAAAUGAAUCAUUAACUAAAGGCUUUGCUUUGUGGAAGAUCUGGAAAGGAAAUGGAAGGCUUUUGGGAUGACGCAGUUCUAAAAGAGAACCGCCAUGACAAGACAGGCUCUGUUGCAGGAUUGGCGGUCAAGAGGGGGAGGAAGCCACGGCUUUGUUAUCAUAUUUGACUCUGUGUUUGAUCUGGCAGAACCCCCUGAAAAGAUUGAUGUCGGAGCAACAGGUCUGUGAAAGCUAAUGAGCAGACGCUAAGACUACAUUCUAUGGAAAUGCUGAAAUGCCGUCUGCCGUCUGAAUAUGACUUUUGGAUUAAUGUGAAAAUCCACACAGGACUAUAACAACGUUUGUUUCAACUCGCUUGUGGAGACUUUCAGAGGUUAUAAAGAAAGGAAAAAAAUACGAUAACAACAAGAAAAUUGAAAGAUGAUUUGUAAAGAAAAACAACAAAGAGAUGAAUGGACAGAACUGUGAACAUCAAAGCAGUAGAAAUAAGAGAUGAUUGGAUCCCUUUCUGAGCUCGAAGCAUGGGUACCCCCAAC